Molecule: ribosomal RNA, 2391 nt
Filed under: Triticum aestivum (bread wheat)
Lineage: Eukaryota; Viridiplantae; Streptophyta; Magnoliopsida; Poales; Poaceae
Description: partial small subunit ribosomal RNA
Source: RNAcentral
AUGCGCUGCUGCUGCUCGACGCAAUGCCUUCGUCGCUCCACAAUUCGGACAACGCGGAGGCAGAUGGACGCGGAGGCGGUGAGGACCACUCCUCCGUCCGCGGCUCACACGCAGGACUCCCCCAUGAGGCCACAGGUGCCCAGGUUCUACUACAAGAAGAGGUCUGCAGUCCACAACACAACUGGCAAGGAUGAUAGCAGCCCCAAGAUCCAACCGCCCAGCUCGCCCGUCAGCAGACAGAGCCUGUCAACCUCUGCCAUCCCCACCUAUCAUGCUGGAGGGUUCUACGAGAUCGACCACGACAUGCUGCCCCCCAAAUCUCCAAUCCAUCUCAAGUCCAUACGCGUGGUUAAGGUGAGCGAGUACACGAGCCACGACAUCACUGUGAGCUUCCCGUCCCUCCUGGCGCUGCGGAGCUUCUUCUCCUCGUUCCGGGUGCCCAGCUCCGGGCCAGAGCUUGACGAGCGCUUCGUCAUGAGCAGCAACCACGCCGCGCGCAUCCUGCGCCACCGGGUGGCCGAGCAGGAGCUCGAGGGCGAGAUGCACCAGGACAGCUUCUGGCUUGUCAACCCCUGCGUCUUCGACUUCAGCGCGUCGUCUGGCCCAGCAACGGCACAGGACGCGCUGUCGUCGCCUGAAGCUCCGCCUGCUCCGCCCAAGGCGCCGGCGGUCAGCUCCUGUCUCCUCGCCACCCUGAAGUGCGAUGGCGCCGGGUGGGGCGUGCGGCGCCGCGUCAGGUACAUUGGCCGGCAUCGCGAAGUUGCCAAGGAGGCCAGCAUCGGCGGCUACGAAACAGAGGCCAGCGUCAAGGAGCUGCAGCGCCCGGCUCAGGAAGAUGACAGGAGGAGCUCAAUCAGAGCCAAGAGGAAGCGGGACGAGGCAGAGGGAAGCAAGGACAAGCCCGGCAACCCGGCGAAGAAGAAGAAGAGCAAGGCAUACAAGAGCCCCAAGAAGCCGAAGAGGCGCCACGUGGAGUCUAGAGACGGCGACCCUCGGCGCGGCAAGGAGCGGUGGUCGGCCGAGCGGUACGCGGCGGCGGAGAGGAGCCUGCUCGAGAUCAUGCGCUCCAGCGGCGCCACCCUCGGCGCCCCGGUGAUGCGGCAGGCGCUGCGGGAGCAAGCCCGCAAGCGCAUCGGCGACACCGGCCUCCUGGACCACCUGCUCAAGCACAUGGCCGGGAGGGUGCCCGACGGCAGCACGGACCGGUUCCGGCGCCGUCACAACGCGGAUGGCGCCAUGGAGUACUGGCUGGAGCCAGCCGAGCUGGCGGAGGUGCGCCGGCAGGCCGGCGUGGCUGAUCCGUACUGGGUGCCGCCGCCCGGGUGGAAGCCCGGUGAUGACGUGUCCCCAGCUGCCGGUGAUCUCCUGAUUAAGAGGCAGACGGAGGAGCUCGCUGAGGAGCUCAAUGAUGUCAAAAGGAACAUGGAGCAACUGAGUUCUAACAUGGUGGAACUGGGCAAGGAAGCGAAAUCUGAGGCUGAAAGAGCUUACAGUUCAUGGAAGGAGAAGUACCAGAAGGUGGUUAACGCAAAUGAAAAGCUAGAGAAGCAGGUGUCGUCUUUGAAGGACACCUACGAGAAUGUGGUUCAGAAACACAGUAAGUUAAAGAAGGAGGUGCGGUCACUGAAGGAUAAGUAUGAUUUUGUAGUUGAAAAGAACGAUAAGCUGGAGGAGCAGAUGGCUUCUCUCUCCAGCUCCUUCUUGUCUUUGAAGGAACAAUUUCUGUUGGCAGAAAAUGGAGAGAAGCUGAAGCGUAUUGCAAUAGAGGAGGUGGGUGUGGGUCAGAACGAGGGCAGGCGGGCGCUAGAUUUUGGUGGUGGUGACCAGAGCCAGAGCCAGAGCCAGAGCCAGAGCCAGAGCAGGCAGCGUUCAGAUGUUAGCGCCGGCGAGAAGAGGACGGCCAGGAAGAGCAGCUUCCGCAUCUGCAAGCCACAGGGCACGUUCCUGUGGCCAAGCAGCACCGGCACCGACAUGAGCGGGAGCGGGGGCGGCAGCAGCGGCAUCAGCAUGGACCACCACCAGCUCCCCCGCAUCGGCCGUGCCACAGCAGUUGAGGUGGUGAUGGCAGAGGAGCAGGCGAUGCUGGGGGCGGGGGACUACUUCUCCACGCCGCCAUCGGCGUCGUCCACCACCAACGCCGGCAAGCUGCUGGCCCUGCCCAGCCCGAGGUCACCCCUCCAGCCACAGCCCCUCUUCACCGCAGGGUUCACCGUCCCGGCCCUGCACCCCUUCGCCGGCCUCACCUUGCGCCACAUGGAUUCGCCGUCGUCGCCCUGCGGUGCUAGUCUGCUGCAGCAGGGGGGGAGGAGGAUGGCCAUGCCCAACCUGGAGGUCGGAGGGAUGAGCACCGUGGGCACGGACCUGGCCCUCGCCACUCCCUCCUACUGCUGA